Cephus cinctus (wheat stem sawfly) is the source of this 2107-nucleotide RNA transcript. It is a transcript of the gene named putative odorant receptor 92a, with no coding region annotated. The transcript is spliced from 7 exons. Lineage: Eukaryota; Metazoa; Arthropoda; Insecta; Hymenoptera; Cephidae. The record is from RefSeq and is a predicted model, not a curated record.
GAACUCUACAGAAAUAUAAAGUGUUAAUAAAUAUAAUAUUUGAUAGGGAAUUAUAAAAGAAUUACAAAUAGCUCUGUGGUCUCUUAUCUCCCUCUCAAUUUUCACUAUUUCUUAUCCAAGUAACUUUAAUGGUGUUUUACAAGGAAUAGUGAUAAUGACUAUUCUAUUUCUGGAGUUAUCUAUAUGGUGUAAUAGGCAUGCUUUCAGUUACGGUGUAUAGCUAAGGAUGCAAGGGAUCGUUGAUAAUUUUAUGAUGAAGAAAAAAAAUUACACGGCACUCACUUAUAAUGGACCAUGUUCCCUCACCGUGACAUUCGAUUUUAUAACAUUAGCGGUAUUCACGUACAAGCGUCAGGUCAUGCAUGAAGUGUGUAAAUUUACUGAAGAUACAUUUUGGAAUAAGGAUUACAAUGAACUGGAUAAAGCAAUAUUGGACAAGUGCGAUAGUACAAGUGCCAUUGGAAUGAGUAUACUGGGUGUACUAGGAAUUGGGGUUAUAAUUCAUUAUCUGACGGGUCCAUACUGGGAUAUCGUAGGAACAAACACCACUGAGAGAACGUUACCGUUACGAGUAGUAUUUAACUUGCCAACUACAAUGACUCCAUAUUAUGAGAUAUUGUAUGGUACUGAGGUGAUUGCAGGAAUUAGUAUAGGUAUUUGCAGCAUAGCGUUCGCCUGCUAUCUAUUCUACACGUGCAUCUUUGUUUCCGGCUACUUUAAAAUCUUGCAGCGAGAGUUAGAGAAUGUGUGCGAGGUAGAACUAAAACGUGUAAACACAAAAUUAUCAUAUAACAAUAAUGAUACUACGCUUGCAUACGAAAAACUCAAAAAAUGCGUCGUGCAACAUGAACUACUAAUUUGGUAUUUGGGUAAACUGGAAAGUCUGUUCUCCUUCGUAUUGUUGAUGCACGUAUUAUGUAUCGUCAUAAUACUUUGCUUUUCUGGAUUUCAAAUAUUUUUGGGAAAUCAAGCCACGAAACUCCAUCGUCAAAUUCUAAGCGCAGAAUUUGUCAUGGCUGCUCUGGCUUCAACAGCCCUUUUCUCUUUCUCGUGCAAUGAAAUAUUUGAAGCCAGCGCCGCUAUCGGGGAAGCUGCGUAUCGAUGCAAAUGGUACAAGUUACCGUGCGAUGAAAAUGGUCGAGCACUGAGACAGGGAAUGACCAUAAUGGUCAUGAGGUCCUACAAGCCGUGCUCAUUGACAGUUGGCAAAGUUUGUCCCAUGACUCUGCAAGUGUUCAAAUCCUUGGUAUAUCGCAUUUGUGAUAACUUCAAAUAUAUACCUUGUUCAGGUACUGAGUACAGCGCUUUCCUAUCUUACCGUAUUACGUGGAAUGAACGAAAAUGAGUAAUCAAUUCUUCGACGCGCUGCUGAUGAGAUAUGUUUUCAAUUUUAUUUCACACCAAUGAAAUAUCAUACGUCAAAAUGAUAUGUGCUUGUUAUUUGGAUUGUGAUCUGUGAUGCAAUGCAACUGUAGUGCAUUAUUGCUACAUAAUAAUCAACAUGAUUAUAUUCAUUCUUCAGGUUAUUUUAUUUUUAUUUAAACCUAUAAGUAAUCCAAAAGUUUCUUACAAGUCACGCAGUGAUCUCUGCUGCCUGUGAUUUGAGUUUACGCAAACUUAUGUGGAAUUAUGCUGUUGGGUUCAUGUAUGUGCGUCGAUUUUACCAGCUGACUCAUGAUUCUAUACAUGCUCCUAUGGGUAUGAAAGAAAAUUUUGUAGUACCAGAGAACGUCGGUAAGAUGUGAAUCGCUCUUUGCUUACGCAUGGUUACUGUCAUUGAUUCCUGAACAUUGUCAGAUUCACGAGAUGGCGACGCUGGUGGCUUUUUGGUCGCUCGUUAAUAUGAUUAAAUGUUUUUAAAUGAACGAGUAGCAAUUAUAUGGCUGUGGAUGAUUAAUAAGCUUCUCGUUGUCAUACUGGUGCGAAUUCACGUUAUUUUCCUGUGCAUAUCCUGGGUGCAAAAAUAAGCGUGACAAUGAUGCUAUGAAAUUCUGCAAAUAUGCUGCUAAUGGUAUAACAUGUAUCUCCAUAAUGCACGAAUGUAAAAGCAAAUCGACUCGAUGCACACAACAAAUAUUUAUCCUUAAUAAAAAGCUAGUACAGUGUA